RNAcentral lists this ribosomal RNA (555 nucleotides) under uncultured Glomus. Its description in RNAcentral is "SSU rRNA". It matches the Rfam family "Eukaryotic small subunit ribosomal RNA", at positions 548 to 1098 of the family's 1831-position model. Lineage: Eukaryota; Fungi; Glomeromycota; Glomeromycetes; Glomerales; Glomeraceae. The record is from RNAcentral.
UUGGAGGGCAAGUCUGGUGCCAGCAGCCGCGGUAAUUCCAGCUCCAAUAGCGUAUAUUAAAGUUGUUGCAGUUAAAAAGCUCGUAGUUGAAUUUCGGGAUUGACGUGACGGUCGUGCCUUACGGGGUAUGAACUGUCGCCGUUGAUUUCUCACCUUCUGGAGAAGCUCGAUGUCCUUAAUUGGGUGUCUUGCGGAACCAGGACCUUUACCUUGAAAAAAUUAGAGUGUUUAAAGCAGGCAUUUUGCUCGAAUACAUUAGCAUGGAAUAAUAAAAUAGGACGGCAUGGUUCUAUUUUGUUGGUUUCUAGGAUCACCGUAAUGAUUAAUAGGGAUAGUUGGGGGCAUUAGUAUUCAAUUGUCAGAGGUGAAAUUCUUGGAUUUAUUGAAGACUAACUACUGCGAAAGCAUUUGCCAAGGAUGUUUUCAUUAAUCAAGAACGAAAGUUAGGGGAUCGAAGACGAUCAGAUACCGUCGUAGUCUUAACCAUAAACUAUGCCGACUAGGAAUCAGACGAUGUUAAUUUUUUAAUGACUCGUUUGGCACCUUACGGGAAAC